AAAUUUUUUCAUGGCCUACUAUAAAGAAAAAACGAAAUGUUUCGUAUUUCUUAAAUAUUUAAAAUUAACGUAUUACACAAAUAGACAUAUCAAAUCAGAAAAAAAUAAUCUUUUCGAAAAUGUCAUAGCCAACUAUGAUUCCUAUUUAAAAAAAUACAACUUUAUGUUAUUACAGUUAAACGAAUGGUUGAAAAAAAUCGCUGAUAACAUUAAAUUCUCUGAAAAAAAGUGAAAAAAUGACAUCUGUCACACUUAAAAUAAUUUUAAUUAUUUCGGCAAUUUGCGCUUUAUCCUCCGGUAAAACGGACAAGUUACACUGUUGGUCGUGUAAAGGUAAAUGCGCAAAACCGGUAGAACAAAAAUGUACUAGUAAGGAAGUAUUGUGUUAUUUCAUUACGAACGCUGAACACGGACGCGAAUAUCGGGGAUGUACGGGAGAAAAAAGUUGUAAUAAAAUGAAACGCAAGCUAAACGCAACUUUUUGCAUUAUGUGUUGGGCUGAUAUGUGUAAUUCCCCGGCAAGGGAUGUGUUGAAGUCGGUGUGGUGGCUAGUACUGGUCCCAAUCCCGCUUCUAGUUUGAAGAAUUGUGACCAAAUACAUGGUCCAGGCAAAUAAGACUUUAAUAAAUCGAAAAGUUAAGGAAAAUAAAAAUGUUUAGUCAAAGAAAA
Molecule: long non-coding RNA, 669 nt
Organism: Tribolium castaneum (red flour beetle)
Lineage: Eukaryota; Metazoa; Arthropoda; Insecta; Coleoptera; Tenebrionidae
Exons: 2
Source: RefSeq, a predicted model, not a curated record